CCACGAGAACGUGCCCGCGCCUUGGCCUCUCUCAGUUGCAUGUAUUGGGUUCGUGGAGCAGGGGAGAGAAAAACAUGGCCAUGGCAUUGAGGCCUUGAAGCGACAGGGGCUUUGUGAAGGACUACAUGGCGAUGGGGGGCGGUGCCGACGGGCCUCUCUGUGAUGAGAGUCUUUUCACAGACCUGUACUGAGCUCCGUGAGGAUAAGAAACUCUGAGGAGACAGGCCUUGCACGGCCGACGCAGUCUUAGCUCCGGAAAACAAAGCGUUUACGAGAUAGCCUAGUGCUGACCUGAUGUUCUCUUGUCUUCAGGGUUCGGGCGCGCGUCGAGCACUAAAGGAUAGCAAAGAGUUCUCGUUACAAUGUGGUUUAAAUCAAAAGACCUUAUGGGUGGGAGGAUGGGACAAGACCUGUCCCUGUGUGGAUCAAGCAUUAUGGCGAUGCUCCAGCAUCUCAUCGCCAAUCCUAAGGAAUUCAGCUGCCUCCCAGGAUGAAUGCAGCUUGUUCCUCUUGGAAUGAUUUUCCUGGGGAGGGAGAUGGCAGCCCAGCAAGCGGCACAGUUGGUUCUUGUGAUGGUGUGCUCUUCCCUCACCCCAUGUCACUGUCAGAUGAUUUGAGUGGUAAUGCUGAUUCUCCGUGAGGUUGUCCUCAUGGUGAUGUAUACAUCUGUCUUACAAUGCCUCUUGAUCUGCUCAGGGUCAAACUCCUGGAAAGAGUUGAGAAUCGAGCAGCUUGUUCCUUGUUCCUGUAUUACUCCUGGAAAGCCUCCCGCGUUGAAAGGUACCAUUGCCAGUUACCUGCUUGUUUGCUCAAAGGUGAGUGUUUUUCAUAUGCGUUGGUGGAUACAGUGUAUUGAGUAGGAAAGGCCUUUUUCGGCAUGUCUGUAUGAUGACUUACCUGGAAUCUCGUUCGGCUGACGAUUUGCUGUUGAGACUCGGAAAUCUGAUUUUCUAGGAACCAUAGCUUAGGUGGGAACAACUUUUAAUGCAGGAAUUAAGCUUACUGAUUCAGUCUUGUUUUUGUUUUAGGUCCAACUCCUUGUCUGGAGCCUGAGAAUGAAUUGAGGUAAAUCUGUCAUCUGUGGCUACUAUAUAGAAUUUGCCAGGGUUUUUUGUGGCACUUUGGAUAGCUGUGCAGACAUUACUUGUUUAAUCCAAAGUUUGUCUUUGGCCAUUUGUGAACCACCUGUGACAGAUUUCCACUCACCAGUGAUGAGUUCAGUACCGCCCCAGUCUGAUCACUAUGACUGAAAGGUAUUUUCUGAGCUGUGAGUUUGCCUUGGAGUGAAAGGUGACAAUAGUGGGAGGUUGGGUGGGCUUUAUAGCCAAUAGGAAGCUUUGUGGACUAGGUGGUGGUUUCUAUCAAAAUGUCUGUUGAGACCUACAUAGAUGUGCCUUUUGUCUCGGGGUGGUUUAGAGACUUAGUUCCCAAUCGUUCUUUCGCAGGGGAAAGGAGUAAGCCAUAUUUCUGUUCAACUCCAGUCUGAAGUUAAGAGGUGAGUAAAUGUAAACACAAGGUGGGUCAAGUUAAAAUUUCCCAGUGAAGAAAUAUUCACAUGUCUUACUUCCUGUCCUAGUCCCAGAGCCUGUAAAGGUGAACCCACUGGGGCUGGCUGGGGGAGAAGAGGAAAGCUUGUUCCAGAAGGAACUGUCUGAGGGAUCAUAAGAAUUUCUAAACAAGGCAAAGGAGGGAAUAAAUUACUGGUUGAAAAUCGGUUGUGUUUUUUUUUUCCUUCAGGUCUGAAGAAAGAACAAAGCACACAUAAUGGUAAGUAUCUAUUCAUGUACUUACAUUACAUAUUUAAUAGACUAACCAUGAUAAAUAGAAAAGUAUCUGGAAGCAGUCCUUUUAAUGUUAGCUGGUUUAAAGGAUAGCCCUUCUAAACCCAUGUGGUAUAUACUUUUCCAUAUGGUAAGAAAACUCAACUUUUUUUUUUUUCUCUACAGGAGUCCCAACUCUCUAAGGAUAUCAAAAAUGGAAUUUUCUUAUACAACCUACCUGUUCAAAUUAGCACACAAUCGUUUUAGCCUUUCUAAAUAAAACUUUGUUUUUUU
Molecule: long non-coding RNA, 2054 nt
Organism: Orcinus orca (killer whale)
Lineage: Eukaryota; Metazoa; Chordata; Mammalia; Artiodactyla; Delphinidae
Exons: 8
Source: RefSeq, a predicted model, not a curated record